UGCCUACGGGAGGCAGCAGUGGGGAAUAUUGCACAAUGGGGGAAACCCUGAUGCAGCAACGCCGCGUGGGUGAAGGAGCGUUUCGGCGCGUAAAGCCCUGUCAGCGGGGAAGAAGAAAGACGGUACCCGACCAAGAAGCCCCGGCUAACUACGUGCCAGCAGCCGCGGUAAUACGUAGGGGGCGAGCGUUAUCCGGAAUUACUGGGUGUAAAGGGAGCGUAGACGGCGAUGCAAGUCUGAAGUGAAAGGCGGGGGCCCAACCCCCGGACUGCUUUGGAAACUGUAUGGCUGGAGUGCAGGAGAGG
RNAcentral lists this ribosomal RNA (305 nucleotides) under uncultured bacterium. RNAcentral describes it as "bacterial SSU rRNA". It matches the Rfam family "Bacterial small subunit ribosomal RNA", at positions 335 to 657 of the family's 1533-position model. The record is from RNAcentral.